UACGGGGGGCGCAAGCGUUGUUCGGAUUUACUGGGCGUAAAGGGCGCGUAGGCGGCCAGCACAAGUCAGUUGUGAAAUCUCCGAGCUUAACUCGGAAAGGUCAACUGAUACUGUGCGGCUAGAGUGCGGAAGGGGCAACUGGAAUUCUUGGUGUAGCGGUGAAAUGCGUAGAUAUCAAGAGGAACACCUGCGGCGAAGGCGGGUUGCUGGGCCGACACUGACGCUGAGGCGCGAAAGCCAGGGGAGCGAACGGG
This 254-nucleotide ribosomal RNA is filed under the name uncultured bacterium. RNAcentral's name for it is "partial 16S ribosomal RNA". It matches the Rfam family "Bacterial small subunit ribosomal RNA", at positions 524 to 776 of the family's 1533-position model. The record is from RNAcentral.